UCUUCCUUAAAUUAACUCUAUACGCUAAUUGUGAAAAUACCCUCAAAUUGACUCUAUAAGUCAAUUUGAAACGUCCAUUCAAAAAACAGGCCUGGUGACUUGCCUGCCUGGUCGCAACCACGCAACCCAUCAUUUACCGCAAUCUACUAUCCCGCGAAGUUUUGGAUAUCCUCAAUCGCUUAUUGUAAAGUGUAUGCUCUUCUGAUUGAAUUUUUUUUUUAAAUUCAAUUUAAACUUUAAUAUUAAGUUGCGUGGUUCGCAUUAUUGCUGAAAUGGAAGAAAACAAUGGUAGUGGUUUUGAUGUACUAGAAUUAGAUGAUACAGAAUAUGUUGAUGUAUCUUCCAAAAAAUUUACAACCUCUCGAAAGAAAAUAUGUAGUAAUUGCUCUACUGCGGUGGGCAAUGCAUGUAAGC
Long non-coding RNA from Xenia sp. Carnegie-2017, 414 nucleotides. RefSeq lists it as uncharacterized. The record is from RefSeq and is a predicted model, not a curated record. NCBI's taxonomy places the organism in Eukaryota, Metazoa, Cnidaria, Anthozoa, Malacalcyonacea, Xeniidae. The transcript is spliced from 3 exons.